GGUAACAUUGUAGCUUGCUACAGAUGACGACCGGCGCACGGGUGAGUAACGCGUAUGCAACCUGCCUUUGACAGGGGGAUAGCCCGGAGAAAUCCGGAUUAAUAUCCCAUGGUAUUUACGAAUCGCAUGGUUUGUAAAUUAAAGAUUUAUCGGUCAAAGAUGGGCAUGCGUGACAUUAGCUAGUUGGUAAGGUAACGGCUUACCAAGGCUGCGAUGUCUAGGGGUUCUGAGAGGAUGAUCCCCCACACUGGUACUGAGACACGGACCAGACUCCUACGGGAGGCAGCAGUGAGGAAUAUUGGUCAAUGGGCGCAAGCCUGAACCAGCCAUCCCGCGUGAAGGAAGACUGCCCUAUGGGUUGUAAACUUCUUUUCUGCACCAAGAAUGGUUACUACGUGUAGUGAUUUGACGGUAGUGCAGGAAUAAGCAUCGGCUAACUCCGUGCCAGCAGCCGCGGUAAUACGGAGGAUGCAAGCGUUAUCCGGAUUCAUUGGGUUUAAAGGGUACGUAGGUGGCCAAUUAAGUCAGUGGUGAAAUCCUGCCGCUUAACGGUAGAACUGCCAUUGAAACUGGUUGGCUUGAGUACAGUUGAGGUAGGCGGAAUGUGUAGUGUAGCGGUGAAAUGCUUAGAUAUUACACAGAACCCCGAUUGCGAAGGCAGCUUACUAAACUGUAACUGACACUGAGGUACGAAAGCGUGGGGAGCGAACAGGAUUAGAUACCCUGGUAGUCCACGCUGUAAACGAUGCUCACUCGCUGUAUGCGAUACAUUGUAUGCGGCCAAGCGAAAGUCUUAAGUGAGCCACCUGGGGAGUACGUUGGCAACAGUGAAACUCAAAGGAAUUGACGGGGGCCCGCACAAGCGGAGGAACAUGUGGUUUAA
Molecule: ribosomal RNA, 883 nt
Filed under: Sunxiuqinia sp.
Lineage: Bacteria; Pseudomonadati; Bacteroidota; Bacteroidia; Marinilabiliales; Prolixibacteraceae
Description: bacterial SSU rRNA
Rfam family: Bacterial small subunit ribosomal RNA
Source: RNAcentral